Molecule: transfer RNA, 73 nt
Organism: Sordaria macrospora k-hell
Lineage: Eukaryota; Fungi; Ascomycota; Sordariomycetes; Sordariales; Sordariaceae
Rfam family: tRNA
About the family: Transfer RNA (tRNA) molecules are approximately 80 nucleotides in length. Their secondary structure includes four short double-helical elements and three loops (D, anti-codon, and T loops).
Source: Rfam
GCCUGAGAAGCUCAAUUGGUUGAGCAAAGCUUUGAAGCUGCUUUGGUUGUAAGUUCGAGUCUUACCUUAGGCA